AGGGGUAAACCUGAGAAAMCCGAAAGGUCGAAGGGAGAAAUUCAUCGCGUUUCGCGGUAGACGGCGAGCGGUCGCGCGACGGAAGGACGUUUACGGUCUUUCGCGCCGUCAGUUCGUCGAAUUUGCCGCGAACGCGUGCACUUUUCUUCUGGUAGGACGUCGCGAUCCGUUGGGCGUCAGUCUACGGCUCGAGGUGGAGCCCGCCCGUCGCUCUCAUCAGCGCACGGACGGACCCUCGUGUCCCGGCUGACUCGCUCGACGGUACACUCGAAAGGUUAGGGGCCGCUCCUCUGCGAGCGUUCGGCUCGCGGCAAGCGCGUCAGACGUGUCGGCGAUCGGACCCAGUGCCGAUUCCGACCUCUGGCGACUGUUGGCCGUCGAAGUUCUCGAACAGACCGGUUGACCGAUCUGCGACGCUAUAGCUUUGGGUACUUUCAGGACCCGUCUUGAAACACGGACCAAGGAGUCUAGCAUGUGCGCGAGUCAUUGGGAAUCGCUAAACCUAAAGGCGCAAUGAAAGUAAAGGUCUUCCUCGCGAAGACCGAGGGAAGACGAGCGGUUUACCGUUAAAAGUGGCCGUUCCGCACUCCCGGGGCGUCUCGUUCUCAUCGCGAGAAGAGGCGCACCAAGAGCGUACACGCUGGGACCCGAAAGAUGGUGAACUAUGCCUGGUCAGGACGAAGUCAGGGGAAACCCUGAUGGAGGUCCGUAGCGAUUCU
RNAcentral lists this ribosomal RNA (719 nucleotides) under Premnobius corthyloides. RNAcentral describes it as "eukaryotic LSU rRNA". It matches the Rfam family "Eukaryotic large subunit ribosomal RNA", at positions 411 to 887 of the family's 3401-position model. Lineage: Eukaryota; Metazoa; Arthropoda; Insecta; Coleoptera; Curculionidae. The record is from RNAcentral.